Molecule: ribosomal RNA, 938 nt
Filed under: Venturia oleaginea
Lineage: Eukaryota; Fungi; Ascomycota; Dothideomycetes; Venturiales; Venturiaceae
Description: eukaryotic LSU rRNA
Rfam family: Eukaryotic large subunit ribosomal RNA
Source: RNAcentral
GUUGGCCUCGGAUCAGGUGGGGAUACCCGCUGAACUUAAGCAUAUCAAUAAGCGGAGGAAAAGAAACCAACAGGGAUUGCCUCAGUAACGGCGAGUGAAGCGGCAACAGCUCAAAUUUGAAAUCUGGCGCAAGCCCGAGUUGUAAUUUGCAGAGGAUGUUUCGGGUGAAGCCACGGUCCAAGUCCCUUGGAACAGGACGUCAUAGAGGGUGAGAACCCCGUACCUGGCCGUCGGUGCCCCCCGCUGUGAAACUCCUUCGACGAGUCGAGUUGUUUGGGAAUGCAGCUCUAAAUUGGUGGUAAAUUCCAUCCAAAGCUAAAUACCGGCCAGAGACCGAUAGCGCACAAGUAGAGUGAUCGAAAGAUGAAAAGCACUUUGAAAAGAGAGUUAAAAAGUACGUGAAAUUGUUGAAAGGGAAGCGCUUGCGGCCAGACUUGCCCGCGGUUGCUCAGCCCGCCCUUUGGCGGGUGCACUCUUCCGCGGUCAGGCCAGCAUCGGUUUGGGCGGCCGGAUAAAGGCGUUGGGAACGUAGCCUCCCCUCGGGGAGGUGUUAUAGCCCGGCGCGCAAUGCGACCAGCCCGGACCGAGGUUCGCGCUCUGCUAGGAUGCUGGCGUAAUGGCCGUAAGCGGCCCGUCUUGAAACACGGACCAAGGAGUCUAACAUCUAUGCGAGUGUUUGGGUGUCAAACCCGUGCGCGUAAUGAAAGUGAACGGAGGUGGGAACCGCAAGGUGCACCAUCGACCGAUCCUGAUGUCUUCGGAAGGAUUUGAGUAAGAGCAUAGCUGUUGGGACCCGAAAGAUGGUGAACUAUGCGUGAAUAGGGUGAAGCCAGAGGAAACUCUGGUGGAGGCUCGCAGCGGUUCUGACGUGCAAAUCGAUCGUCAAAUUUGCGUAUAGGGGCGAAAGACUAAUCGAACCAUUUAGUAGCUGGUUCCUG